RNA transcript from Passer domesticus (house sparrow), 2976 nucleotides. RefSeq lists it as uncharacterized. The record is from RefSeq and is a predicted model, not a curated record. The transcript is spliced from 3 exons. NCBI's taxonomy places the organism in Eukaryota, Metazoa, Chordata, Aves, Passeriformes, Passeridae.
GACUCUCUCCUCACUCAUAACUGCCUCUCACUCCUCAGCUGACUUCUGCCCAUCCAGCCUGCAGCUGAGCCUUUCCCAUGGCACCUUCUGGGGCUUCAGCCAUCCUGACGUCUGCUGGGAAAGUUGCACAAUGAGCUGUAGGCAAUCCAGAAGACUUCUGGAAAACAUGGAAGAUAACUUUCUGACCCAGAAGUGGUGAGGCAGUGGAACUUGUUUCCCAGAGAAGCUGUGGAUGCCCCACCUCUGGAAAUGUUCAAGGCAAGCUUUGAUGGGGCUCUGCACAACCUGAUCUAAUGAAGAGUGUCCUUGCCCAUGCAUUAAGGGUCAGAACUAGAUGAUAUUUAAGGUCCCUUCUAAUCCAAACUAUUCUGUGGUUCUCUAUUAAUGCCAAAAGGUCAAAACCAUUUAGGCUUACAUGUUUAUUUUUAUCUUGCAACUCUUUUUAAGGCAGUAAUUCUAAGAAAUAGCCUUGAAAAAACCUCUUGUCUUGUACACACAGUGCUGUUGAUUUACAGUAGCAAUAAGUUUGGAUCUUAAAAAGCCCAGGAAGUUUAUGCUAUUAGCACUAAGUUUUCAGGAGAGGUAAUAAACACUUGCUUUUAAAUUCUAGUGAGUGAUUUAAAAAUCUCAACACAAUAAAAUACAAAAUACUAAGUUAAGCUAUUCAUUAAAAUCUUUAUUGAGGAAAGACUGAAAACCCACUUCCCAUAUAUGCAUGCUUGACAGAGAUUUGGGUCUGAGACAGUGGAAAUCUGUUCUAAUAGUUCUGAAGAAGAUAAAAUAGUCUAUAAGGAUUUUUCUCUUUUGUUUGUAUGAGUUUGAAAUAACAGAGCAGUAAUCUCCACUGAAUAUCAGAAAGAUAAAUUUGUCUUAUUAAAAAAAAAACCACAAAAAACUCUGGAUGUCUAAAUAGAGAUAUUAAUCAUGUGGAUUCCAUAUUACUUUAAUUUUUGAUAUAAACAAUUAGUGUUAUUAUUAUUUCUGCAAUUGUAAUUUUACUUUGUCCCAAGUGCAGCAUUACUUUUCACAUAUCUUUAUGCUUGAUAUUUCAGAAUGAGGACUGUUACGAGAUUUUUAGACUAUCCACUAUUGCAAGCUAAGAAAAUUACUCAUUUUGCACUUGAUAAUAAUUGUAUAAAUGCAGGAUAAGGACAAGUAGCAGUUUCAUAGAAAUUAGUUUGAGGAAAUAAUCAAGCUACACUUAAAUCAAACUUUUAUUUACCCCCAUAGAAAGACAAUCAAUUUAUUGAUAGAUAAUUUUGAAAAAAAUAAAAAAAUGUCUACAAGGUAUGGAAAGGGAAACUUCUUCUCUACCAUACAUUGCUGGGGGUCUAUACUGGAGAACUGCAUUCAGAUCUGCAACUUUACACCCCAGAAGAGCCCAGUUCAUACAUCCAAAUGAGACUAAAGUAAAUUAGCAAUUGUAUAGAAAUGAAAUGUAUGAGAGCAGGUUUAGAAAGGAACUUAUUUAAUUUCUAAAACUUAAGACUGAGUACAGGAGUGUUGAUGCUCUCCUAAUUAAUCAAAAACUAUUGUUAUGAGAAAGGCAAUAAAAUGUUCUUUAUGUCCAUAUUUAACUGGGUUUCAAACUGAAAAAAACAGAUUCAGGUUACAGUUUAAAAAUAGCAUUUUGAUGAUAACAAUAAUGAAACAGUGGAAUAGUUUGAUAUAAGUAGACUGUGGACACCUUUAAACAAAGGUUAAGUAAACACCUAUAGGUAGGUUCAUAGCUAGACUAAUAUUGCCUUAGAGCUUGAAGGUUAACUAGGUGACAUACCAAUCCUCUGUCAUUCUAUGCAAGCCAUACAGAAACCUACAUAGAAGAACAGAGGUUUGCCUAAAUGUAUUUACAACAAAUGGGGUGAGGGGAGAGGGGAUGAACCAAAACCAGCCUUCUAUAUAUCAUGGCUCACAUUUCAUUAUCAGAUUGUUAUGCUUUUACCAGUGAAAACUGAUAGAAUUGGUGACUUUUUUGAAGUGUAAGAACGUUUAUAAUAUAAUAGGCACAUGAUGAUAAAAUAAGAAAAAUACGUAGGGGUAAAAGCUACAGCAAAAUAAACCAGGUUCCAUUGGCAAAAGGAUUAAUGGUUAGAUACUUAAUUUCUGCUAGGUGUUCUUGUGUUCGCAAAAUUUUUUAAAGAAUUCUAUUCCAUCUAGAUAUGAAAGAGUCUUUAUUUUCCCAUCGAUAAGUGUUAGACAACUUCAUUUUCCUUUUCUUUUAUGCCUUUGAGGAUUUGGCCCAAUCUGCAAAUAACUAUAAAUCUUUCCUACACACCAAUUAAUACAGUUGAAGCACAAGUCAAGGCCAAUGCAAUGGUAACUUUCAGAUGUUUUUGAAAUGCUUCAGCACUGAGCUAGAGUUUAUUUCAGAUAUACAAUAGAUAGAACAGGUGCUAUCAAACAGUUUUAUUUCCUUUAUGACAUAAUGCCUCAAUCCCAUGAAUGACAACCUAGGUCUUUCCAAAUAGUAAACUUGCUGAGAAAUGGAAUGAAGAGGUUUGCAGUGAUAAUCUCAAGGCAUAGAGGAGACAGUACUACAGAGAGAAAUAUGGAAACAUCUAGCCUAACUUAAUGUGGAAACAAAAUGGGAAAAUUCUGCAUUUUAGAUGGGUUUUAGGGAAAAGACAUUUCCCUAUCAUACAAUUUUUCCUGAUAAUGGUAACUUUAAAGAACAAUAAACCAAAUUUCACAAUGAAAAAUAUUUACUUUAAAAUAACCCCCAAACACUCUAAAUGUUAUAAUUCAAAACGUUUAGAGCAAGGUAAAUAAUUUUCUUCAAGUAAUUCUGUUUUACUGUUUACUUUGAUACACCUUAACAGAAAUGUAUAGGAUAAGAAAUUAGUUCUUACAGUUAUUCUUGAUCCUGUCCCUGGGGAAGAAGGAGCAGCAGACACAAUGGUGAACUGACUGACUCUCCCAUUCCCUGCCCCCCUGCUGCAUGAUGGGAGGAGGUAGAGAAAAUCAGGAGUAGCAUUA